This 484-nucleotide ribosomal RNA is filed under the name uncultured bacterium. Its description in RNAcentral is "partial 16S ribosomal RNA". It matches the Rfam family "Bacterial small subunit ribosomal RNA", at positions 30 to 507 of the family's 1533-position model. The record is from RNAcentral.
AUUGAACGCUGGCGGCAGGCCUAACACAUGCGAGUCGAGCGGAUGAAGGGAGCUUGCUCCUGGAUUCAGCGGCGGACGGGUGAGUAAUGCCUAGGAAUCUGCCUGGUAGUGGGGGAUAACGUCCGGAAACGGGCGCUAAUACCGCAUACGUCCUGAGGGAGAAAGUGGGGGAUCUUCGGACCUCACGCUAUCAGAUGAGCCUAGGUCGGAUUAGCUAGUUGGUGGGGUAAAGGCCUACCAAGGCGACGAUCCGUAACUGGUCUGAGAGGAUGAUCAGUCACACUGGAACUGAGACACGGUCCAGACUCCUACGGGAGGCAGCAGUGGGGAAUAUUGGACAAUGGGCGAAAGCCUGAUCCAGCCAUGCCGCGUGUGUGAAGAAGGUCUUCGGAUUGUAAAGCACUUUAAGUUGGGAGGAAGGGCAGUAAGUUAAUACCUUGCUGUUUUGACAUUACCAACAGAAUAAGCACCGGCUAACUUCGUG